RNAcentral lists this ribosomal RNA (444 nucleotides) under Bulimina sp. RNAcentral's name for it is "SSU rRNA". It matches the Rfam family "Eukaryotic small subunit ribosomal RNA", at positions 1187 to 1470 of the family's 1831-position model. Lineage: Eukaryota; Foraminifera; Rotaliida; Buliminidae. The record is from RNAcentral.
GGCUUAAUUUGACUCAACGCGGGAAAUCUUACCGGGUCCGGACACACUGAGGAUUGACAGGCAAUAUUAGCACUUAGCUUCGGCGACGUGUUAUGUUAAAUAUGCUAGUCCUUUCAUGAUUAUGUGAUAGGUGGUGCAUGGCCGUUCUUAGUUCGUGGAGUGAUCUGUCUGCUUAAUUGCGUUUCACCAAGGGCCUAUAAUUUUACGUGUGUUGCGGCACUUUGACCCCUCUUUUUUUAAAGAGCGCGUGUCUUGGUUUGCUUAGCUCGCACAAUUAGGUCCUGAAAGCAACGAACGUGACCGCAACCUCUUGUUGCCUUUAUACCAAACGUGCAUAUGCAAUUUUUUAAUUGCUUUGCGCGCAAAAAGGCUUUUUAAACUAGAGGGACCGCUGUUACUUUCUUAAACCAGAGGAAGGUUGCGGCAAUAACAGGUCUGUGAUGC